CACAGGUAUAUGUUUGUACAUGUAAAUAAAACAAAAAUACAAAAAUACAACACAAUAUAGUGUGUUGUAUUUUUGUUUUAUUUACAUGUACAAACAUAUACCUGUGAU
RNAcentral lists this microRNA precursor (108 nucleotides) under Pelobates cultripes (western spadefoot toad). The record is from RNAcentral. Lineage: Eukaryota; Metazoa; Chordata; Amphibia; Anura; Pelobatidae.